ACCUUGUUUCUGUCUUUUCCCCAUGUCUCCCUGUUUUCCCUACAUGUCCCACACUGGCCUGCUCCCGCUAACUAGGGGGGCGUGGUGAUUAGUUACACACCGGAGUUCGUUCGCACUGAUUACUGGCCGGACAGUAUAAAACCACCCAGGUACGAAGAAGCGUUGUAAGCUCUGCCUGUUUAACCCCCUAGCGUGUCGGAUUUAGUCAUCAGGUAUGUUGCAAUACUCCCGUUUGCUGCCAGACUAAUAACAUGGUUUAAUCAAUGUUUGUCUUCACCUGUAGCUUCGUGGUCACCGGCUAGUCUGCUCCUGCUGCCCGUGUGUUAGACACCAUCCCUUAUUCAUUCUACAGCUGAACGUGGAUGUGGGGCCCUCUUUGAGGGAGGCUAGUCACCUGGUGGUGGGACCCUGUAGCUGCACAUUUGUGGUGUCAUUGUUGCUUGCGGUGGGCUGCUGUGUCACUGGUAAGUCACUUUCUUGCAGUGUGUAUGCACGUGUGAUGGCUGGAACUUAGAACACACCUCCAGUUAGUCUGUCUCCCUCAGGUAAGCCCCCAUCUGCUGUAUCUUUUUAGCUCCAGUGGAGCCUGGCCCCACUUUAGAAAUCACCUGUUCAUAUUGUAUCAUAAUAAAAGAACAAUAAUAAAUAUUUUUGUACUUUCAUAACCUCUGACUCGUUUCAGGUAUUAUUGCAGGACACUCCUCCCUUCCCCCCCCCCCUUUGGUUAUUUAAUAAACUUAUGAUUUGACUGGAAUUCACGUUGUCUGCUUGGUGCUUUCGGACCUGUGUCAAACCUUCCUUAGCAAAUUCUCUUAAAGAAGUCCCAGGGUACUAAGCCCAGGGUGGCGUAGUCGGGCUACUGGG
Molecule: long non-coding RNA, 864 nt
Organism: Alosa sapidissima (American shad)
Lineage: Eukaryota; Metazoa; Chordata; Actinopteri; Clupeiformes; Clupeidae
Exons: 3
Source: RefSeq, a predicted model, not a curated record